This 377-nucleotide unclassified non-coding RNA is filed under the name plant metagenome. Its description in RNAcentral is "partial contains 5.8S ribosomal RNA, internal transcribed spacer 2, and large subunit ribosomal RNA". The stretch from base 1 to 105 matches the Rfam family "5.8S ribosomal RNA", at positions 50 to 154 of the family's 154-position model. The record is from RNAcentral.
GAAAUGCGAUAAGUAAUGUGAAUUGCAGAAUUCAGUGAAUCAUCGAAUCUUUGAACGCACCUUGCGCUCCUUGGUAUUCCUUGGAGCAUGCCUGUUUGAGUAUCAUGAAAUCUUCAAAGUAAAUCUUUUGUUAACUCAAUUGGUUUCUACUUUGGUAUUGGAGGUCUUUGCAGCUUCACACCUGCUCCUCUUUGUUCAUUAGCUGGAUCUCAGUGUAUGCUUGGUUCCACUCGGCGUGAUAAGUUAUCUAUCGCUGAGGACACUGUAAAAGGUGGCCAAGGUAAAUGCAGAUGAACCGCUUCUAAUAGUCCAUUGACUUGGACAAUACUUUUAUGAUCUGAUCUCUAAUCAGGUAGGACUACCCGCUGAACUUAAGC